UACAGAGGGGGCAAGCGUUGUUCGGAAUUACUGGGCGUAAAGGGCGCGUAGGCGGCCUUCUAAGUCGAACGUGAAAUCCCCGGGCUCAACCCGGGAACUGCGUCCGAUACUGGAAGGCUUGAAUCCGGGAGAGGGAUGUGGAAUUCCAGGUGUAGCGGUGAAAUGCGUAGAUAUCUGGAGGAACACCGGUGGCGAAGGCGGUCUGCUGGGCAGUUUCUGACACUGAGGCGCGACAGCGUGGGGAGCAAACAGG
This 253-nucleotide ribosomal RNA is filed under the name uncultured bacterium. RNAcentral describes it as "partial 16S ribosomal RNA". It matches the Rfam family "Bacterial small subunit ribosomal RNA", at positions 524 to 776 of the family's 1533-position model. The record is from RNAcentral.